This 468-nucleotide ribosomal RNA is filed under the name uncultured bacterium. RNAcentral describes it as "bacterial SSU rRNA". It matches the Rfam family "Bacterial small subunit ribosomal RNA", at positions 28 to 507 of the family's 1533-position model. The record is from RNAcentral.
GACGAACGCUGGCGGCGUGCCUGACACAUGCAAGUCGGACGGUUCUUGCACCUUCAAGCUUGCUUGCUGGUGCAGGGAUAGUGGCGGACGGGUGAGUAACGCGUGAACAUCUACCCAUUGGAGGGGGACAACCCGUCGAAAGGCGGGCUAAUACCGCGUAAGCCGCGAGGUGAGAGGCUGCCUAUUGGUGGCCGCCGAUGGAUGGGUUCGCGUCCUAUCAGCUGGUUGGUGGGUAACGGCCUACCAAGGCGAAGACGGGUAGCCGGUCUGAGAGGAUGGCCGGCCACACUGGAACUGAGACACGGUCCAGACUCCUACGGGAGGCAGCAGUGGGGAAUAUUGGGCAAUGGGGGAGACCCUGACCCAGCGACGCCGCGUGAGGGACGAAGGUUUUCGGAUCGUAAACCUCUGUUGUACGGGAAGAAGGAAUUGACGGUACCGUACGAGUAAGCCCCGGCAAACUACGUG